This 915-nucleotide long non-coding RNA is filed under the name Sarcophilus harrisii (Tasmanian devil). RNAcentral's name for it is "lncRNA (ENSSHAG00000022473.1)". The record is from RNAcentral. Lineage: Eukaryota; Metazoa; Chordata; Mammalia; Dasyuromorphia; Dasyuridae.
GGAGGGGGAACCAGGAUGGUCUGGGAGGGGGGAACCAGGAUGGUCUGGGAGGGGGAACCAGGAUGGUCUGGGAGGGGGGAACCAGCAUGGUGAGGGGGGUCUGGCUUUGGCGUUUCAGCACUUAGGACGGUGCUUGGCACACAGUAGGCGAUUUCUCGGCUGAGUUUCCAGUCCUCGGAGCACGUGCAUGGGCAGGGGGCAGCGGCGGGAGCACUGACUGCUGUCUGGCUGCCCCAGGUUCCAGGGCAGGCUCCGAGGCCUGGGUCUCUGAGGGGAAACCGGUUUAGUUCGAGAACUCGGUUAAGGCAGGAAGACGCCUGGCUCCCUUGGGGGGGGGGGGGCGAGAACUCCUGGGUCCUUGGGGGGAAGGGGAGGAAAGACUGAGGAGCCAGGGUACCUGAGGGGCGGGGGCGGGGGGGGGGCAAUGCCGGUAGGGGAGGGCAGUACGCCGGGGUCCCCGCAGAGGAGGGGUGGGGCCGGGAGGCCGGGGUCCGAUCCUCGGGCUGAGGCUGGGGCGGGGGGCUGGGGGCGGAGCCGCCAACCUGCGGGCUAGGGGGGCGGGGGCGGAGCCGGGCCGGGGCUGCGGCGGCGGCUGCGGCGGUGGCGGCUCCGGCUCCGGCUCCGGCUCCGGGUCCUGUGGCAUCUCCCAGAACGUGGGGGACCGGGCUGGGGGGGGUCGUCUCCCCUCCGCUCUCCCCAAUGGGCUCUUCCCGCCCGCCCCGAAUGCCCCCUAGGACUCGGCAGGAAUAAGGACAAGGACAGGACACCCAGCAGUCAUGUCAGGGGACUAUGAGGAUGACCUUUGUCGCCGGGCUCUGACCUUAGUCUCUGACCUGUGCUCCCGGAUCCAGGAUGCUGAUGAGAAAUGCCAGGAGUUUUGGCGGAUCCGAGGCUAUCCCCGGCCCUCAGAUGCAG